CAGUCCUCUCAUGCCUUUUCAGACCAAAUGGGGGAGGGAAAAACAGAUACCCUUCAGAGAUAAAAAGCCUAACGAGGCACUUGAUGCAUUAUACAUGUCAAUACAUACACAUACACACUUCGGACCAUUUAAGCUUCAUUCCACUUUUCUUGUUAAUUAUUUUCUAGAUAACAUCGUUGGUAUCAUAUUAUUUUAUUUAUAUGCAAAUUAUCAAGUGCCUACAAAUCACAUAGCAUGCUUGAAAUCAAGAAUAAUUCACUUUAUUAAAAUUACUAAAUAUAGAACAUGCAAACUACACAAAAUCACAGAUUCAUUAUUUUAAUUUUUUUAGAAAUACUCUUUAAGACAUUUAAAGAAAUACUCAGUUCCUUCCCAGAACCUCGAAUUUUUUCUACACCGUUCUUCUUCUCCUAUUGUCCUUCUCUCUCUUGAUCACUCUCUCUCUC
RNAcentral lists this long non-coding RNA (446 nucleotides) under Carica papaya (papaya). Its description in RNAcentral is "long non-coding RNA (CPAP_LNC004495)". The record is from RNAcentral. Lineage: Eukaryota; Viridiplantae; Streptophyta; Magnoliopsida; Brassicales; Caricaceae.